This 1125-nucleotide ribosomal RNA is filed under the name uncultured bacterium. RNAcentral's name for it is "bacterial SSU rRNA". It matches the Rfam family "Bacterial small subunit ribosomal RNA", at positions 99 to 1241 of the family's 1533-position model. The record is from RNAcentral.
CGAACGGGUGAUGAACACGUGAUUAACCUGCCUUUCAUUCUGGGAUAACUCCGGGAAACCGGGGCUAAUACCGGAUACUCCGUCUCUGCGGCAUCGCCGAGCCAUAGAUCAAACUCAAAUGAAAGAUGGUCUCGCGGCCUAUCAGCUAGUUGGUGAGGUAAUGGCUCACCAAGGCGACGACAGGUAGCCGGCCUGAGAGGGCGACCGGCCACACUGGGACUGAGACACGGCCCAGACUCCUACGGGAGGCAGCAGUGGGGAAUAUUGGGCAAUGGGCGCAAGCCUGACCCAGCGACGCCGCGUGAGGGAUGAAGGCCUUCGGGUUGUAAACCUCUUUCAGUAGGGAAGAAGCGAAAGUGACGGUACCUAAAGAAGAAGCACCGGCUAACUAUGUGCCAGCAGCCGCGGUAAUACAUAGGGUGCAAGCGUUGUCCGGAAUUAUUGGGCGUAAAGAGCUCGUAGGUCGUUUGCCGCGUCGAUUGUGAAUAUCUGAGGCUCAACCUCAGACCUGCAGUCGAUACGGGCAAACUAGAGUGUGGUAGGGGAGACUGGAAUUCCUGGUGUAGCGGUGGAAUGCGCAGAUAUCAGGAGGAACACCAAUGGCGAAGGCAGGUCUCUGGGCCAUAACUGACACUGAGGAGCGAAAGCGCGGGGAGCGAACAGGAUUAGAUACCCUGGUAGUCCGCGCCGUAAACGAUGGGCACUAGCUGUGAGAGCCUUCCACGGUUCUCGCGACGCAGCAAACGCAUUAAGUGCCCCGCCUGGGGAGUACGAUCGCAAGAUUAAAACUCAAAGGAAUUGACGGGGCCCCGCACAAGCAGCGGAGCAUGCGGCUUAAUUCGACGCAACGCGAAGAACCUUACCAAGGCUUGACAUAUAGCGAAAAGUGGCAGAGAUGUCAUGUCCGCAAGGGCGCUAUACAGGUGGUGCAUGGUUGUCGUCAGCUCGUGUCGUGAGAUGUAGGGUUAAGUCCCGCAACGAGCGCAACCCUCGUUCUGUGUUACCAGCAUUUAGUUGGGGACUCACAGGAGACUGCCGGGGUCAACUCGGAGGAAGGUGGGGAUGACGUCGAGUCCUCAUGCCCCUUGUGUCUUGGGCUGCACGCAUGCUACAAUGGCCGGUACA